This 488-nucleotide ribosomal RNA is filed under the name Ectobiidae sp. SMB-2011. Its description in RNAcentral is "partial 12S ribosomal RNA". The record is from RNAcentral. Lineage: Eukaryota; Metazoa; Arthropoda; Insecta; Blattodea; Ectobiidae.
CGCCAUCAGUACAGAUCGUACACUGACGACAUGGUUCUACAAAACUACGAUUAGAUACCCUAUUAUUUUUUAUUUAAAUUUUAUUAACUAUGGUAGUAAUAGAUUGUUCUUGAAACUUAUAGAAUUUGGCGGUGUUUUAAUUCUUUUUAGAGGAAUCUGUUCCGUUAUCGAUAUUCCACGAUGGACCUUACUUAUUAUAAAUUUGGUUUGUAUACCGCCGUUGUUGAAUAUUUUUUUAGGAAUUAAAUUUUCUUAAUUUUUUAUUAAAAUGUAUUUCAGGUCAAGGUGCAGCUUAUUAAUUAAGUGGAAAUGGAUUACAAUUUUUUUUAAUAUACGGAUAUUGUGAAUGUAAUUUAUUUUGGAAGGUGGAUUUAAUAGUAAUUUUAUUUAGAUUAUUAAAAUGAAAUAGGCUCUAGAAUAUGUACACAUCGCCCGUCGCUCUUAGACCAAGUCUCUGCUACCGUAACGAUCUGUACUGAGCGGGCUGG